GCGUUGUUAGCUCAACCGGACAGAGCAAUUGCCUUCUAAGCAAUCGGUCAC
RNAcentral lists this transfer RNA (51 nucleotides) under Escherichia coli KOEGE 10 (25a). Its description in RNAcentral is "tRNA-Arg". It matches the Rfam family "tRNA", at positions 1 to 48 of the family's 71-position model. Rfam says of the family: Transfer RNA (tRNA) molecules are approximately 80 nucleotides in length. Their secondary structure includes four short double-helical elements and three loops (D, anti-codon, and T loops). Further hydrogen bonds mediate the characteristic L-shaped molecular structure. tRNAs have two regions of fundamental functional importance: the anti-codon, which is responsible for specific mRNA codon recognition, and the 3' end, to which the tRNAs corresponding amino acid is attached (by aminoacyl-tRNA synthetases). tRNAs cope with the degeneracy of the genetic code in two manners: having more than one tRNA (with a specific anti-codon) for a particular amino acid; and 'wobble' base-pairing, i.e. permitting non-standard base-pairing at the 3rd anti-codon position. Lineage: Bacteria; Pseudomonadati; Pseudomonadota; Gammaproteobacteria; Enterobacterales; Enterobacteriaceae. The record is from RNAcentral.